Molecule: ribosomal RNA, 253 nt
Filed under: uncultured bacterium
Lineage: Bacteria
Description: partial 16S ribosomal RNA
Rfam family: Bacterial small subunit ribosomal RNA
Source: RNAcentral
UACGAGGGGUCCUAGCGUUGUUCGGAAUUAUUGGGCGUAAAGCGCACGUAGGUGGCUUAGCAAGUCAGAUGUGAAAUCCCGGGGCUCAACCCCGGACGUGCAUUUGAAACUGCUGAGCUUGAGUACGGGAGAGGGUAGUAGAAUUCCUGGUGUAGUGGUGAAAUACGUAGAUAUCAGGAGGAACACCGGUGGCGAAGGCGGCUACCUGGCCCAGUACUGACAUUGAGGUGCGAAAGCGUGGGGAUCAAACAGG